Long non-coding RNA from Crotalus tigris (Tiger rattlesnake), 1718 nucleotides. RefSeq lists it as uncharacterized. NCBI's taxonomy places the organism in Eukaryota, Metazoa, Chordata, Lepidosauria, Squamata, Viperidae. The transcript is spliced from 3 exons. The record is from RefSeq and is a predicted model, not a curated record.
AGAGUCGAGGUUGCCUACCUCUGAGCUUGUUGGAGAACAGCUUGAAGCCAGCUUGCCAGUGAUAAGGAUUUAUCAAACCAUUAUAGACUGGAGCUGUCACUUGGGGGUUUCUGAAAGCAGGUGAACUGUCAAAUAGGAAGAUCACACAAUUUACACUAAGCAGUAUGUAUUAUGCAAACCCAGGAGUAUAUUAACUUUGACUGCCUGAAACCAAUCUGACAGCAAAUAGAUCAGAAGAAGGAAAACAGCAUCAGUAAAAAGGAAGAAGCAAAUCGAAGAAAACAAUUUUAAAAUGAAUAAUUUAAUGCUUGCUGGACCAUUAACAUUUCUGUGGUUUAGAAGAAACUAUACUUUAGACCUCAGUGAAUUUUGUAUCCAAAUAGUUUAAUUCUAUAGCAUUUCUACAAUGCAUCUGCAAGAUGGGCUAGUUUUGCUUCAGCAAGGGAUGUAUGACACAGAGGCAAUGCACUUCUCUUACAUGAGGCAACCAGGUGUGGGAUUUAUGCUGGUGAAGCUACACAGCUUUGACCUUCAGUUGCAGUAUCACAAAAGAUCUUCUGCACAUGUGCUGCUCGUACACAGAAGCAUCUUCUGGCUACCGAAAUUGCCAGCAGUGGCAUGGUGGAAGUGGACAGCUGCAUUUCUUCAUAACAGCUUUAAAGAACUGCUUCAUAGGAAAAUUGCUCAAAUUCAGCAAUCUUAUCAAAGCUUGCACAUAAUAACAGCUAUAAGAAAUCUAGACACUUGGACUCAUUUUUAAAAAUUAAAAGUGAAAACUCAAAUGCUUGCAAAAACUGAUGUCACACUUGCCUGAUGAUUCUGUAUGUCAUCUGCUAUAAACUCUGGAGAGGGUGGAUGGGAGGGGGAAUGCUUGAGGGAAAGCAAAAGUAACUACUGUAUCUCCCCAAGACACUGCUUCAAGGUCAUCCAGCUGCGAGAAGAAGGUAGCUGUAUACCAAUCUGCUCUUGAAGUGACUGAAUACCAGUCUGCUCUUGAAGUGACUGUUCUGAAAACAUCUUGCUUGAACAUGAUGGUCAUGGGAGGCAGUUACACAGGGAGGGAAAGGUUGAACUUAAGGAUUUUGGUGCCGAUUUUCAGUUCUGGCUAUGCAUUACACUUGACUUCUAAUCAAAUUAUACCUUUCUCAACAAAUGGUGCCAAUAAUCAUUUAUAUUUAGAGGUUUAAAUGCUGGCAGAUCUGACACUGUAACUGCAUUUGCUUAUUAUAUGCCUGGGCUUGCAUAGAAGGAUCCGAUUUGAAAAAUAAAAGACAAAAAAAGCUUUUGAUUCCUAGAAAUUAAUAGUCAUAUAUGUUUUGUCAUGAAAGUGAUGAUAUUGUAAAGGAUCUCUGCCAGCUGGACUCUUUCCUGGUAAAACAGACUUGCUUGCUAUUAACCAUGUGUUGAUUUCUUUUUGUGCUAGUACUAAGCGUUCUGCAUGGACAGCCUUUGAACAAUAGAUUAAACUGCUUUGGAUCCAAUAAAUGACUACUAAAUUACUAAGUGAAACUACUCCUUGGGCUCCAUUACAAGUACUCCUUAACUUAUGACCGUUCAACGUUAUGACCUACCUAAAAAAAGGAGACUUAUGACCUGGAUAGGAAAUUCUGAUGGUUGCCCCCCUCCCCUCACAGUCAUGUGACUGCACUUCAGAUAUUUAGCAGUCGGGCUGCAUUUACAGCUGUUUGCAGUGUCCUGUGUCCUAUUACUGCAUUUUA